AGGUACUCCAUUGUCUGACGGAUCUGAGAACGCUGUCUGGGCUUCGUGCCAAGGGCUGGUAUUCACACAGCAACGACGGCCUCACAGAAGAGCUGUGGGAAGCAGGAGGGAGAGCCUCUCUUAGGGUGCCACUACUAUGGAGACACAGCUGGGCUGAACAAGAUUUGCUUCAAACGACAACAAGAGAGACAGAAAGUAUCUAAUUCAACCGCUGCCCAAGCAGGCAGGCACCAGAAGAGCUAGCAGCCAAUCCGGCCAUGCUCGAAGCCAGUCCUGCAGCUCAGCCAAUCAGUGACAUCAUUGGACAUCUCUUCAGAUUGCUCAUCAUGAUAUGAAGAUGAAACUUAAUAGCAAGAACUAAUGGAUGCUUUUCUUGGAUUCAGUCCAACACUCUGGAGACCAGAUCUUCAGGAAUGUAACUGGGAUAAUUGUCCAAAUCAAAUCCCAUGCCCUGUCAUGCACACCAGAAUAGAGGUCCUGUCUUACUAAGCACUAUACAGUAUGGAGAGAUCCUGCCAAACCCGUCGGGACGAAUAACAGAUGAAUUCGUAAAACUGUUCAUCUCUGUUAUCCUGAAUGGUCGCUCAGACAACAUUUUACUCAACUAUAAAGGGGAACACUUAAAGUGCAUAUGAGAAGAGAAGAGAAUGACCACAGGAGAAAAUCAU
RNAcentral lists this long non-coding RNA (668 nucleotides) under Mus caroli (Ryukyu mouse). RNAcentral's name for it is "lncRNA (MGP_CAROLIEiJ_G0013458.1)". Lineage: Eukaryota; Metazoa; Chordata; Mammalia; Rodentia; Muridae. The record is from RNAcentral.